CCUACGGGCGGCAGCAGUGGGGAAUAUUGGACAAUGUGCGAAAGCCUGAUCCAGCCAUGCCGCGUGUGUGAAGAAGGCCUUCGGGUUGUAAAGCACUUUCAGUGGGGAAGAAAGCCUUGGGGCUAAUACCCUCGAGGAAGGACAUCACCCACAGAAGAAGCACCGGCUAACUCCGUGCCAGCAGCCGCGGUAAUACGGAGGGUGCGAGCGUUAAUCGGAAUUACUGGGCGUAAAGCGCGCGUAGGCGGUCUGAUAAGCCGGUUGUGAAAGCCCCGGGCUCAACCUGGGAACGGCAUCCGGAACUGUCAGGCUAGAGUGCAGGAGAGGAAGGUAGAAUUCCCGGUGUAGCGGUGAAAUGCGUAGAGAUCGGGAGGAAUACCAGUGGCGAAGGCGGCCUUCUGGACUGACACUGACGCUGAGGUGCGAAAGCGUGGGUAGCAAACAGGAUUAGAUACCCGGGUAGUC
This 465-nucleotide ribosomal RNA is filed under the name Vreelandella stevensii. RNAcentral describes it as "partial 16S ribosomal RNA". It matches the Rfam family "Bacterial small subunit ribosomal RNA", at positions 338 to 795 of the family's 1533-position model. The record is from RNAcentral. Lineage: Bacteria; Pseudomonadati; Pseudomonadota; Gammaproteobacteria; Oceanospirillales; Halomonadaceae.